CCUACGGGGGGCUGCAGUGGGGAAUAUUGGACAAUGGGCGAAAGCCUGAUCCAGCCAUGCCGCGUGUGUGAAGAAGGCCUUCGGGUUGUAAAGCACUUUCAGUGGGGAAGAAAGCCUUGGGGCUAAUACCCUCGAGGAAGGACAUCACCCACAGAAGAAGCACCGGCUAACUCCGUGCCAGCAGCCGCGGUAAUAUGGAGGGUGCGAGCGUUAAUCGGAAUUACUGGGCGUAAAGCGCGCGUAGGCGGUCUGAUAAGCCGGUUGUGAAAGCCCCGGGCUCAACCUGGGAACGGCAUCCGGAACUGUCAGGCUAGAGUGCAGGAGAGGAAGGUAGAAUUCCCGGUGUAGCGGUGAAAUGCGUAGAGAUCGGGAGGAAUACCAGUGGCGAAGGCGGCCUUCUGGACUGACACUGACGCUGAGGUGCGAAAGCGUGGGUAGCAAACAGGAUUAGAUACCCUAGUAUC
This 464-nucleotide ribosomal RNA is filed under the name Vreelandella stevensii. RNAcentral describes it as "partial 16S ribosomal RNA". It matches the Rfam family "Bacterial small subunit ribosomal RNA", at positions 338 to 794 of the family's 1533-position model. The record is from RNAcentral. Lineage: Bacteria; Pseudomonadati; Pseudomonadota; Gammaproteobacteria; Oceanospirillales; Halomonadaceae.